UGGAGAAUCCCAUGGGCAGAGGAGCCUGGUGAACUAUAGUCCAUGAAGUUACAAGAGUCAGACAUGAUUAAGUGAUUUAACACACUUGCACAGGUGUGAGAAGCACAGAGGCUGUUAAUGUUGAACUCACCAUGAGUGGCUAGAGAGCAAAUAGUCUUGCGUUAGAAAAGUGAGGAACGGUUUGAAAGGAGUGAACUUGGAAAGGGCAGCUUUUGCUUAGCAGGGAGCACACGUUCAAUCUUCAGUUUCCUGAAUCCUUAAGACUCUUGGGAUCUGUUUUCCACAUUUAGACUUCCACUGUCAUCCAUGACGCAGUGGCUGAUGCUUCAACCGGUAAAGGAAGAGACGGUGGUGGCUUGGUUUCAACAACUUCUGUGAAAAUCAGCAGCCUGAAUCUGCAAGCCUCCUCCUUCCCAACUGAUGGGCCCCAGCUGUGAUUUCUCCAGUAAUUACAUACUGGAAAAAAUUUGCCAAUCCUUGGUCUAUAAAUGUAACCAUACUAGAAGGUCACCAUGACAAAUACUUGUCAGAGACCAACUCCCCAGGAAUCAUCAGCAAGAGCCCAAGAAGAAGGAAUCUUUGACCACAGUUGACUGUUUUGAAGAAACUGGUCUUGAUUGCCUGCCUCUUUCUCAGCAUGAUCAAGAUUUGUGCUCAUCAUUACCACAGAACUGAUAUCACAAGACCUUCUUGUGUCUAUCCAGGAGCAGUGAAGAUUCCUGAUACUACAAGUUGAUAAGUCCAGGCUAACCUGCUGGAGGAAAAGAGAUUGUUUGGAGCAGAACCAAGUUGUCCUAACUAAAGCCUUUCUAUGCCAUCCAGACCCUCGCUGGCCCAAUAGCUGACUUCACAAGUGCUGUUCUGGAGUGGUUUGUUACACAGCAGUACCUGAUAUGAUUAAAAAUUAUGUCCUAUAUAAUUUUUUAUCUAGCAUAUUAACCAAGUGCUUAACAUAUAGUGAGUGGUCUAUACAUAUAUGUUGUACUGAAAAGCAUGGAAGGAAAAUUCCAAUCUAUCGCAAAGCCCUUUUUUCUCCUUUUUUUCUACCAAACAUCAUGACUGCCCUAACUUUCUCACUCUCUUUUACCUCUGAGAUCUCAGGAGCUAAGACUGUAGGGACAGCUGUGGGAAUUCCAGCAGGCACACUGCGGUUUGAAAUCCACAGACAAGGGAGCAUGGCUUCCUUCCUUGGCCUGCUGCCCCACGCACGGCGAGCAGAGCAGCCAAGCCAAAGUGGCAGCCGCAGUGUGGGAGCCCAGCUCUCCUGCCAUAAAUUACCCAGAGGCAGGAAGAAGCAGUGAGAGUCAGCGGUUUCAACUACCUAGUAGUUCAUUUUUGUUCUUGUUUUUCAGUUAGCAAUCUGUAAAAUUUAUUGCAAAAUUAAGCUCCCUGCUCCAGAGUCAAUAAUAUUCCUGGUGCCCGGCGGUGUAAUAACUCACAAAAAGGGCAGGAGUUGGAGGGAGUGAAACUGAUUUAAGAAGUUGACUUCCAAGCCCUACUUUCUGCUGCCUACUCCCUGCUGCUAAAGGUCAGUUUAAAGCUAGAAACUUCUCAUCAAGAAGCCAUCAAAGCGUCACUAGCAUCAUAAAGAUAACAAAGAUAAAAUGGUUUUCUGAGGCGGUCUUACAAAUAGCUGUGAAUAGAAGAGAAGCAAAGGCAAAGUAGAAAAGGGAAGACAUACCUAUUUGAAUGCUUCCA
Long non-coding RNA from Cervus elaphus (red deer), 1698 nucleotides. RefSeq lists it as uncharacterized. The transcript has 5 exons. Lineage: Eukaryota; Metazoa; Chordata; Mammalia; Artiodactyla; Cervidae. The record is from RefSeq and is a predicted model, not a curated record.